AUGCAGAAACUGGAGUGAUGCAGCGAUUGUCAAGGAAUGGCAAGGAUUGUUGGUGGCACCAUGAAUUAGGCAAGAAAGGUUUCUUCCCUACAGCCUUCAGUGGAAGCAUGGUGGCCGUGCUGACACCUUGAUUUCAGAUUACUAGUAUCCAGUACUCUGAAAGAAAACUUUUUGUUGUUUUAAGCUAUCCAGGUUAUAGUAAUUUGUAAUGGCUGCUCUAGGAAACUAAUAAGUCAAUUUAAUCCUGGAGUGAAAUAUUAGGGAACUGACAUAGUUCUAUGCCAAGUUCCCCAAAUAGCUAUACAGUAAGUCUCCUACAUAUGAACCUUCAAGUUGUGAACUUUCAAAUAUGUGAACAUGCCCCUGUAUGCCAGCUGUUGUACUAUACUACUGUACUUUUCAAGCUUAAUAUCUUUCAGAUUCUAAAAAGAUGCAGUGAUGAACAUACGUGACUAUCCAUGAAGUGGUGGGAAGAGGUUGGAUUCUGGAUAUAUUUUGAAGGAUAGAUAACAUAUUAAAAAGACAUGAAGUGAAGAAGAACUACAAUCCUGAAGCCUGUGGAACAAAAACCACAUUCACAGAAAGAUAGACAAGAUGAAAAGGUAGAGGGCUAUGAACCAGAUGAAGGAACAAGAUAAAAACUCAGAAAAACAACUGAAUGAAGUGGAGAUAGAAAACCUUCAAGAAAAAGAAUUCAGAAUAAUGAUAGUGAAGAUGAUCCAGAAUCUCAGAAAAAGAAUGGAGGCAAAGAUCGAGAAGAUGCAAGAAAUGUUUAACAAAGACCUGGAAGGAUUAAACAACAAACAAACAGAGAUGAACAAUACAAUAACUGAAAUGGAAACUACACUAGAAGGAAUCAAUAGCAGAAUAACUGAAGCAGAAGAACGGAAAAGUGACUUGGAGGACAGAACGGUGGAAUUCACUGCCUCGGAACAGAAUAAAGAAAAAAGAAUGAAACGAAAUGAAGACAGCCUAAGAGACCUCUGGGACAACAUUAAAUGCAACAACAAUCUCAUUAUAGCCGUCCCAGAAGGAGAAAAGAGAAAGGAAGGACCCGAGAAAAUAUUUGAAGAGAUUAUAGAUGAAAACUUCCUUAACAUGGGAAAGGAAAGAGCCACCAAAGUCCAGGAAGUGCAGAGAGUCCCAUGCAGGAUAAACCCAAUGAGAAACAUGCCAAGACACAUAAUAAUCAAAUUGACAAAAAUUAAAGACAAAGAAAAAUUAUUGAAAGCAACAAGGGAAAAAUGACAAAUAAUCUACAAGGGAACUCCCAUAAGGUUAAUAGCUGAUUUCUCAGCAGAACCUCUACAAGCCAUAAAGGAGUGGUAUGAUAUACUUAAAGUGAUGAAAGGAAAGAGCCUACAACCAAUAUUACUCUACCCGGAAAGGAUCUCAUUUAGAUUUGAUGGAGAAAUCAAAAGCUUUACAGACAAGCAAAAGCUAAGAGAAUUCAGCACCACAAAACCAGCUCUACAACAAAUGCUACAGGAACUUCUCUAGGUAGGAAACACAAGAGAAGAAAAUGACCUACAAAAACAAACCCAAAACAAUUAAGAAAAUGUUAAUAGGAACAUACAUAUUAAUAAUUACCUUAAACGUGAAUGGAUUAAAUGCUCCAACCAAAAGACAAAGGCUUGCUGAAUGGAUACAAAAACAAGUCCCAUAUAUAUGUUGUCUACAAGAGACCCACUGAAGACCUAGGGACAUAUAGAGACUGAAAGUGAGGGGAUGGAAAAAGAUAUUCCAUGCAAAUGGAAAUCAAAAGAAAGCUGUAGUAGCAAUACUCAUAUCAGAUAAAAUAGACUUUAAAAUAAAGAAUGCUACAAGAGACAAGCAAGGACACUACAUAACGACCAAGGGAUCAAUCCAAGAAGAAGAUAUAACAAUUAUAAAUAUAUAUGCACCCAAAAUAGGAGCACCUCAGUACAUAAGACAACUGCUAACAGCUCUAAAAGAGGAAUUAAACAGUAACACAAUAAGAGUGGGGGACUUUAACACCUCACUUACACCAAUGGACAGAUAAUCCAAAAUGAAAAUAAAUAAGGAAAGAGAAGUUUUAAAUGACACAAUAGACCACACAGAUUUAAUUGUUAUUUAUAGGACAUUCCAUCAAAAAACAGCAGAUUACAUUUCCUUCUCAAGUGCACAUGGAACAUUCUCCAGGAUAGAUCACAUAUUGGGUCACAAAUCAAGCCUCAGUAAAUUUAAGAAAAUUGAAAUCAUAUCAAACAUCUUUUCCGACUACAACUAUAUGAGAUUAGAAAUGAAUUACACAGAAGAAAAUGUAAAAAAACACAAACACAUGGAGGCUGAAUAAUACGUUACUAAAUAACCAAGAGGUCACUGAAGAAAUUAAAGAGGAAAUCAAAAAAUACCUAGAGGCAAAUGACAAUGAAAACAUGAUGAUCCAAAGCCUAUGAGAUGCAGCAAAAACAGUUCUAAGAGUGAAGUUUAUAGCUAUGCAAGCCUACCUCAAGAAAAAAGAAAAAUCUCAAAUACACAAUCUAAACUUACACCUAAAGCAACUAGAGCAAGAAGAACAAACAAAAACCAAAGUUAGCAGAAGGAAAGAAAUCAUAAAGAUCAGAGCAGAAAUAAAUGAAAUAGAAACAAAGAAAACAACAGCAAAGAUCAAUAAAAAUAAAACUUGUUCUUUGAGAAGAUAAACAAAAUUGAUAAACCAUUAGCCAGACUCAUCAAGAAAAAGAGGGAGAGAACUCAAAUCAAUAAAAUUCAAAAUGAAAAAGAAGUUACAACAGACACAGCAGAAAAACAAAGCAUCUUAAGAGACUACUACAAGCAACUCUAUGCCAGUAAAAGGGACAACCUGGAAGAAAUGGACAAAUUCUUAGAAAGGUAUAACCUUCCAAGACUGAACCAGGAAGAAAUAGAACAUAUGAACAGACCAAUCAUAAGUAAUGAAAUUGAAACUGUGAUAAAAAAUCUUCCAGCAAACAAAAGUUCAGGACCAGAUGGCUUCACAGGUGAAUUCUACCAAACAUCUAGAGAAGAGCUAACACCAAUCCUUCUCAAACUCUUCCAAAAAAUUGCAGAGGAAGGAACACUCCCAAACUCAUUCUAUGAGGCCAUCAUCACCCUGAUACCAAACCCAGACAAAGAUACUACAAAAAAAGAAAAUUACAGACCAAUAUCACUGAUGAAUAUAGAUGCAAAAAUCCUCAACAAAAUACUAGCAAACAGAAUCCAACAACACAUUAAAAGGAUAUUACACCAUGAUCAAGUGGGAUUUAUCCCAGGGAUGCAAGGACACUUCAAUAUAUGCAAAUCAAUCAAUGUGAAACACCAUAUUAACAAAUUUAAGAAAAAAAAAAUAUGAUCAUCUCAAUAGAUGCAGAAAAAGCUUUUAACAAAAUUCAACAAGCAUUUAUGAUAAAAACUCUCCAGAAAGUGGGCAUAGAGGGAACCUACCUCAACAUAAUAAAGGCCUUAUAUGACAAACCCACAGCAAACAUCAUUCUUAAUGGUGAAAAACUGAAAGCAUUUCCUCUAAGAUCAGGAACAAGGCAAGGAUGUCCAUUCUCACCACUAUUAUUCAACAUAGUUUUGGAAGUCCUAGCUACAGCAAUCAGAGAAGAAAAAAUAAAUAAAAGGAAUACAAAUAGGAAAAGAAGAAUUAAAACUGUCACUGUUUGAAGAUGACAUGAUAGAAUAUAUCCUAUAGAUGCUACCAGAAAGAGCUAAUCAAUGAAUUUGGUAAAGUUGCAGGAUACCAAAUUAAUACAGAGAAAUCUCUUGAAUUCCUAUACACUAAUGAUGAGAAACCUGAAAGAGAAAUUAAGGAAACACUCCCAAUUACCAUUGUAACAAAAAGAAUAAAAUGCCUAGGAAUAAACCUACCUAGGGAGACAAAAGACCUGUAUGCAGACUAUAAAACACUGAUGAGAGAAAUUAAAGAUGAUACCAACAGAUGGAGAGAUAUACCAUGUUCUUGGUUUAGAAGAAUCAAUAUUGUGAAAAUGACUAUACUACCCAAAACAAUCUACAGAUUCAAUGCAAUCCCUAUCAAAUUACCAAUGACAUUUUUUACAGGACUAGAGCAAAAAAUCUUAAAAUUUGUAUGCAAACAUAAAAGACCCCGAAUAGCCAAAGCAGUCUUGAGGGCAAAAAGCAGAGCUGGAGGAAUCAGACUCCCUGAUUUCAGACUAUACUACAAAGCUCCAGGAAUCAAGACAAUAUUGUACUGGCACAAAAAUAGAAAUAUAGAUCAAUGGAACAAGAUAGAAAGCCCAGAGAUAAACCCAUGCACCUCUGCUCAACUAAACUGUGACAAAGGAGAUAAGGAUAUGCAAUGGGGAAAAGACAGUUCUUCAGUAAGUUGUGCUGGGAAAACUGGACAACUACAUGUAAAAGAAUGAAAUUAGAACACUCCCUAACACCAUACACAAAAAUAAAGUUAAAAUGGAUUAGAGACCUAAAUGUAAGACUGGACACUAUAAAACUCUUAGAGGAAAACAUAGGAAGAACACUCUUUGACAUAAAUCACAGAAAGAUCUUUUUGAUCCACCUCUUAGAGUAAUGGAAAUAAAAACAAAAAUGAACAAAUGGGACCUAAUGAAACUUAAAAGCUUUAUCACAUCAAAGGAAACCAUAAACAAGACGAAAAGACAACCUUCAGAAUGGGAGAAAAUAUUUGCAAAUGAAUCAACGGACAAAGGACUAAUCUCCAAAAUAUAUAAACAGCUCAUGCAGCUCAAUAUUAAAAAAAAAAAAAAAAACAACCAAUCCAAAAAUGGGCAGAAGACCUAACUAGACAUUUCUCCAAAGAAGACAUACAAAUGGACAAGAAGCACAUGAAAAGCUGCUCAACAUCACUAAUUAUUAGAGAAAUGCAAAUCAAAACUACAAUGAGUUACCACCUCACAACAGUUAGAAUGGGCAUCAUCAGAAAAUCUACAAACAACAAAUGCUGGAAAGGCUGUGGAGAAAAGGAAACCCUAUUGCACUGUUGGUGGGAAUGUAAAUUGAUACAGCCACUAUGCAGAACAGUAUGGAGGUCCCUUAAAAAACUAAAAAUAAAAUUACCAUAUGAUCCAGCAAUCCCACUACUGGGCAUAUACCCAGAGAAAAUCAUAAUUCAAAAAGACACAUGCACCCCAAUGAUCAUUGCAGCACUAUGUACAAUAACCAGGUAAUGGAAGUAACCUAAAUGCCCAUCGACAGACAAAUGGAUAAAGAAAAUGUGGUACAUAUAUACAAUGGAAUAUUACUCAGCCAUAAAAAGUAAUGAAAUUGGGUCAUUUGUUGAGAUGUGGAUGUAUCUAGAUACUGUCAUACAGAGUAAAGUACGUCAGAAAAAGUAAAACAAAUAUCGUAUAUUAACACAUAUAUGUGGAACCUAGAAAAAUUGUACAGAUGAACCAGUUUUCAAGGCAGAAAUUGAGACACAGAUGUAGAGAACAAACGUAUGGACACCAAGGGGGCAAAGCAGCAGGUGGGGGGUGGUGGUGGUGAGAUGAAUUGGGCGAUUGGGAUUGACAUGUAUACACUGAUGUGUAUAAAAUUGAUGACUAAUAAGAACCUGCUGUAUAAAAAAAUUAAAUAAUAUAAAAUUUAAAAAAAUAGUGUUCUUUGAUGAAGAACUCUUAAAUUUUAAUGUAGUCUAAUUUGUCUAUUUUCACUUCUUUUUGCUUCUGGUAUAAAACUCUUAUUUUUUAAAAUUGCUGGAUUUAUUUUGUUAAUAUUCUGUUAAGGAAUACUCUGCAUCUGUA
Molecule: long non-coding RNA, 5729 nt
Organism: Balaenoptera acutorostrata (minke whale)
Lineage: Eukaryota; Metazoa; Chordata; Mammalia; Artiodactyla; Balaenopteridae
Exons: 3
Source: RefSeq, a predicted model, not a curated record